Molecule: transfer RNA, 127 nt
Filed under: Vibrio parahaemolyticus
Lineage: Bacteria; Pseudomonadati; Pseudomonadota; Gammaproteobacteria; Vibrionales; Vibrionaceae
Description: tRNA-OTHER
Rfam family: tRNA
About the family: Transfer RNA (tRNA) molecules are approximately 80 nucleotides in length.
Source: RNAcentral
GGUUGGGUAGCUUAAUGGUUAGAGCGCCCUUGUCCUCCUGUUCGCAGGGGGACACUCUCCGAAUGAGUUUUUCUAAUAGAGCUCAUCCGAUGGGUAAGUUGAGGUUCGAGUCCUCACCCAACCACCA